Molecule: unclassified non-coding RNA, 592 nt
Filed under: Hevea brasiliensis (rubber tree)
Lineage: Eukaryota; Viridiplantae; Streptophyta; Magnoliopsida; Malpighiales; Euphorbiaceae
Source: RNAcentral
AAAAAAAUACCAAAAAAAAACCUACUAAUUAUGUGGUUAGUAUUUUAUUUUAAUAUUAUAAAAUUUAAAAUAAAAAUUAAUAAAAAAUUAGCUACUAUCUAGUCAGUCAGUAAUUAUCGACUAAAUUAGCUACUAUUUAUUUAAUUGGUAAUUACCGACUAAAAUAUUUUAGACGGUAAUUAUUGACUAUAUAAUUUGUGUCGGUAAGUAUUAACUAAUAAAUGAUCUCUAAAUGAUAGUUAAUUCCCUCAUACCCUACUAUUUGACUACGAUAGUACUAGCAAAUUACCUAUUAAUAUCUUGGUCGGUAAUUUUAUCGACUAAUAUUUGGUUGGUAAUUUACCAACUAAAAAUAGAUAGUAAGUAAAAUUUACUACAACCUAAUUAGUGGACAAUUUGUGUUUAGUCGGUGUUUAUUUUCAAGCACUAAUUACUUUACUGUUAACUAUAUGUUUUUUGCUUGCGUUUUGAGCAGUAAAAUUAUUGAACUUAACUGUGUAAUUGCGAUUGCAUGUCUUCAUAUCAUAGUUAGAAACUUGACUAUUUAGCAGCUCUACCACUUUACACAGGAUAACUAUGGUGAUAGAUCAUG